RNAcentral lists this ribosomal RNA (253 nucleotides) under uncultured bacterium. Its description in RNAcentral is "partial 16S ribosomal RNA". It matches the Rfam family "Bacterial small subunit ribosomal RNA", at positions 524 to 776 of the family's 1533-position model. The record is from RNAcentral.
UACGUAGGGUGCAAGCGUUAAUCGUAAUUACUGGGCGUAAAGCGUGCGCAGGCGGUUAUGCAAGACAGAUGUGAAAUCCCCGGGCUUAACCUGGGAACUGCAUUUGUGACUGCAUGGCUGGAGUGCGGCAGAGGGGGAUGGAAUUCCUGGUGUAGCAGUGAAAUGCGUAGAUAUCAGGAGGAAUACCGAUGGCGAAGGCAGGUCUCUGGGCUGACACUGACGCUCAUGCACGAAAGCGUGGGGAGCAAACAGG